GAACGCUGGCGGCGUGGAUUAGGCAUGCAAGUCGGACGGUAGGGCUUUAUCGUAAGAUAGAGUUUGAGAGUGGCGAACGGGUGAGUAACACGUAGGAAUCUACCCUUAACGACGGGGACAACCCAGGGAAACUUGGGCUAAUACCGGAUGAGAGUGCGAGAGAUUGCAUUUAAAAGGAUGGCGAAAGUUGUCGCUUAGGGAUGAGCCUGCGGUCUAUUAGUUAGUUGGUGAGGUAAGAGCUCACCAAGGCGAUGAUAGAUAGGCGGCCUUAACGGGUGGUCGCCCACACUGGGAUUGAGAUACGGCCCAGACUCCUACGGGAGGCAGCAGUCGAGAAUAGUCUACAAUGGCCGGAAGGCUGAUAGUGCGACGCCGCGUGAACGAGGGAGCCCUUCGGGGUGUAAAGUUCUUUUCUGUACGAGCAGUGCUAUAUAUAUGGAUAGUAUAUAUAGAGGGAUAGUAGUAUAGGAAUAAGCAACGGCUAACUCCGUG
RNAcentral lists this ribosomal RNA (492 nucleotides) under uncultured bacterium. RNAcentral's name for it is "bacterial SSU rRNA". It matches the Rfam family "Bacterial small subunit ribosomal RNA", at positions 31 to 507 of the family's 1533-position model. The record is from RNAcentral.